Molecule: RNA transcript, 1190 nt
Organism: Papaver somniferum (opium poppy)
Lineage: Eukaryota; Viridiplantae; Streptophyta; Magnoliopsida; Ranunculales; Papaveraceae
Exons: 6
Source: RefSeq, a predicted model, not a curated record
UUUUCCCAGGCCUCUCGCAUUCUUCUGUUCACACAUAACACUCCACCACCGGUCCACCGCAGCGAACAAUUAAACCACCAGCGUCGCAACCGAAAACCACCAACAGAUUAUUCAUGGCGGUGCUUAGAACGAUAGUGAACCUUCGAAUUGUUGCAGCAGGUUAGGUACUCUCCAUUUUCUCAAAUGGCAACAAAACCAUCUAGUAUUCUCCAUAAGGAGCCGGAAAUGUCCCCCGAGGAGGAGGAGAAGGAAAGGAAAAUAAAUGCCCUGUGGAGGGAGAAAUUAAUAGCAAGAAAAAUAAGGCAAAGAGAACGUACUAAGGCACAUUUUGAAGCUAUGGGGCUGGAGACUGUUAGUUACGAUCCCAAAAUUGCCGAUUAUGACUACCUCCUCCUUCCCCCAAGCGAGCUGCGCCAUUGGAGAUUGAUCCAAAAAGACAGCAGUCAUUGCUCAACAACUGAUCCCAUGAAAGCUGAUAAAGCCCGUGAGGAGGAGGCUAAUGGAGUAGAGAGUGAAGUGUAAAUAGAUGUUCAAGUUUAAUCAGCUGGUGCCUUGGGGGAAAGUAGUUGUGCCUCAACCUGCUCUCAUUUCUCAUUUCGCGGAACUCAGUCUGCACACAGAAACCAUCCUAUGAAGUCCUACACCUCCUGAUAAGAUCUUAGUUCUCCACUUUCAAGCUGGCUAACUUGCUUUGUUAUCGAUUCUUGAGCUCACAUCGUUUGACUUCACAUUGGUGUCAGAACAGUCCUCAUCCACCUCUGGAGCCAAAUCAUUUGGGCUCUCACUCUUAGAGGCGGACACCAGGACACCAGGUUAUAUAAUUAGCCCAACUCCCCCUUUCAAAACAUUCCUCUAUUACGCGUCGCAAGUGUAUUCAGCAUCGGACCCACCGCGGGCACACCCAGACGAGGGGUUUAAAUCAAAGACAUGUAAUGAGGGAGAAAAAUGAGGGGAAGUGGGAAGCGUGCAGCAGAGUUCUGUAUCUUUCUGCUUUUGAACAGUAGCUAGCCAGCUACUAACAGUACAAGAAGAUCAUUUGUUUUACCAAGAUACAUUGUUAAUCUUCCAUUCUUGCUCUCUUCCACCGUUACUUGAUCAUCAUUUUUAUUGCUCUUUUUUGCUUUGUAGCAUGUUGCCUUUGCUUUUCCAUGCUAUACCUCGACAUGGUCGUGUCUAUGUUUCCGGCAUAU